Molecule: ribosomal RNA, 253 nt
Filed under: uncultured bacterium
Lineage: Bacteria
Description: partial 16S ribosomal RNA
Rfam family: Bacterial small subunit ribosomal RNA
Source: RNAcentral
UACGUAGGGGGCAAGCGUUAUCCGGAUUUACUGGGUGUAAAGGGAGCGUAGACGGCGAUGCAAGCCAGAUGUGAAAGCCCGGGGCUCAACCCCGGGACUGCAUUUGGGACUGUGUGGCUGGAGUGUCGGAGAGGCAGGCGGAAUUCCUAGUGUAGCGGUGAAAUGCGUAGAUAUUAGGAGGAACACCAGUGGCGAAGGCGGCCUGCUGGACGAUGACUGACGUUGAGGCUCGAAAGCGUGGGGAGCAAACAGG